CAAGUAGGCGGCAUGAUAAGUGAGGGGUGAAAUCUUCCGACUCAAUCGGAAAACUGCCUUUCAAACUGUCAAGCUUGAGGCACUAAGGGGGAAAUGGAAUUCUAGGUGUAAGGGUGAAAUCUGUAGAUAUCUAGAAGAACACCAGCGGCGAAGGCGAUUUCCUGGUAGUGUCCUGACGCUAAAUUGCGAAAGCUAGGGGAGCAAACAGGAUUAGAUACCCUGGAAGUCC
RNAcentral lists this ribosomal RNA (229 nucleotides) under uncultured bacterium. Its description in RNAcentral is "partial 16S ribosomal RNA". It matches the Rfam family "Bacterial small subunit ribosomal RNA", at positions 568 to 796 of the family's 1533-position model. The record is from RNAcentral.